AUUCCAUGAUGGGGAUAUUCUUGGAAGCGCUCCCAUGCUUCUGGAACAGAUUCAUCAUGUUGUUGCAGAAAACUCGUAAUUUUCCCACGGAGAGC
Molecule: small nucleolar RNA, 95 nt
Filed under: Sorghum bicolor (sorghum)
Lineage: Eukaryota; Viridiplantae; Streptophyta; Magnoliopsida; Poales; Poaceae
Description: Plant small nucleolar RNA R71
Rfam family: Plant small nucleolar RNA R71
About the family: R71 is a member of the C/D box family of snoRNAs containing the C (UGAUGA) and D (CUGA) box motifs. Multiple nearly identical copies of this snoRNA have been identified in Arabidopsis, and it is thought to function as a 2'-O-ribose methylation guide for 18S ribosomal RNA.
Source: Rfam by way of RNAcentral